Molecule: transfer RNA, 65 nt
Filed under: Ectopsocopsis cryptomeriae
Lineage: Eukaryota; Metazoa; Arthropoda; Insecta; Psocodea; Ectopsocidae
Description: tRNA-Phe
Source: RNAcentral
AUUUAAAUAGCUUAUACUUAGAGCAUUACACUGAAGUUGUAGGGGAAAUUUUUUAUUUUUAAAUA